Molecule: ribosomal RNA, 406 nt
Filed under: uncultured bacterium
Lineage: Bacteria
Description: partial 16S ribosomal RNA
Rfam family: Bacterial small subunit ribosomal RNA
Source: RNAcentral
AUCGAACGCUGGCGGCAGGCCUAACACAUGCAAGUCGAACGAGUGGCGGACGGGUGAGUAAUGUCUGGGCAACCGCCUGAUGGAGGGGGAUAACUACUGGAAACGGUAGCUAAUACCGCAUACCAUACGAUUUGCCCAGGUGGGAUUAGCUGGUGGGGGGGGUAACGGCUCACCAAGGCGACGAUCCCUAGCUGGUCUGAGAGGAUGACCGGCCACACUGGAACUGAGACACGGUCCAGACUCCUACGGGAGGCAGCAGUGGGGAAUAUUGCACAAUGGGCGCAAGCCUGAUGCAGCCAUGCCGCGUGUAUGAAGAAGGCCUUCGGGUUGUAAAGUACUUUCAGCGGGGAGGCGUUACCCGCAGAAGAAGCACCGGCUAACUCCGUGCCAGCAGCCGCGGUAAUAC